Molecule: transfer RNA, 67 nt
Filed under: Sphaerodactylus townsendi
Lineage: Eukaryota; Metazoa; Chordata; Lepidosauria; Squamata; Sphaerodactylidae
Description: tRNA-Ala
Source: RNAcentral
GGAGGCUCAAUGGUAGAGCCUCUUCUCUGCAUGCAGAAGGUCCCAAGUUCAAUCCCUGUCAUCUCCA